RNAcentral lists this long non-coding RNA (571 nucleotides) under Fukomys damarensis (Damara mole-rat). Its description in RNAcentral is "lncRNA (ENSFDAG00000024731.1)". Lineage: Eukaryota; Metazoa; Chordata; Mammalia; Rodentia; Bathyergidae. The record is from RNAcentral.
CGUUGCCAUGCAUCUGGCUCGAGUGUUCGGUAUCCCGUGAGAACGUGGAGGCUCAGGAAACCAGGCCUGGUAAACAGUGUCUUUUCAAUGAACCCACUGCUUCUUUUUCAUAUAGCAGUGAUUUGCUGAGUUUCUGAAGGGCGAGCACAGGUGGUGUGUGCGCCCCAGGCCGGCCCAGGACUGCGGCCACCCACAGGCCUGGGAUGACGCUCUGGCCUGCAGGGUGAGGUCCACGCAUGAGGACAGCCACGUGGGGCACGGAAUGGUGGCUGAGUACACUGGCUCAUGCUGUGGGGCAGACGGGGACAGUGGACUUGCCUGGAAGCACUGACCACAGGCUUCGCCACAUCCGCAGCAGCAACAUGCAGCGAUUGCUUUGUAGGCAGAGGGCUGCACCGUGGGCUGUGCUCAUGGAGCACUCUGGGUGGAGAAUAGCUCACACCACUCCAGGAGCAAAAUGGAAGAGAUUUCUACCCAGAAGUGCACUGUCAGAGCUACUGAAAUGUGUGCACAUUAAAUCGGGCUUUAUGCUACAUAAACGUGUUGCAUGAAGUUUCCUUUUUCCCCUAAA